AGGCAGAUCACUUUUGUGAUAUCAAACAGAAAAAAAAAAACAAAACUCAAAGGGAGAGAUCAAAUUGAGAGAAACUUAGAUUUCCUUCUUCAUUUUUCCUCCCUAAUUUGCGAAUCACCAAACGCUACCUCACGUCACUUCCACGUUCACGCUACUCUCCUCUGCCCGUACACCCUUCUUCACUCGUCACAAUCUCCCUCGUCUGUGCGCUGCCUCCCACUGUUAACCCCCACAAACUUGUUCCUCUCCAACAAACCUGUAACUUCCGUUAACUUCCGCCGUUCCCUUGUUACAUCAGUAGGUUCAAGUGGCACUUAUUAUUGUUUUUUCUUCUUCUUGUAUCUUAUGUCUUUCAAUGGAGGUGUGUUCUUGGUUGCUGUGCUUGAUCAUGCUCCUGGGUUUCUCUUAUCUAGCAGUGCUUUCAGAAAACAACAAAACCAUGAUGAGCCUUAUGAUCUUCCUCCCAUAU
Vicia faba (fava bean) is the source of this 469-nucleotide non-coding RNA. The record is from the annotation of a GenBank genome assembly. Lineage: Eukaryota; Viridiplantae; Streptophyta; Magnoliopsida; Fabales; Fabaceae.